GAAAUGCGAUAAGUAAUAUGAAUUGCGGAAUUCAGUGAAUCAUCGAAUCUUUGAACGCACAUUGCGCCCGCCAGUAUUCUGGCGGGCAUGCCUGUCCGAGCGUCAUUUCAACCAUCAAGCCCCCGGGCUUGUGUUGGGGACCUGCGGCUGCCCGCAGGCCCUGAAAACCAGUGGCGGGCUCGCUGUCACACCGAGCGUAGUAGCAAUCACCUCGCUCAGGGCGUGCUGCGGGUUCCGGCCGUUAAACAGCCUUACAAAACCCAAGGUUGACCUCGGAUCAGGUAGGAAGACCCGCUGAACUUAAGC
Molecule: unclassified non-coding RNA, 306 nt
Filed under: plant metagenome
Description: partial contains 5.8S ribosomal RNA, internal transcribed spacer 2, and large subunit ribosomal RNA
Rfam family: 5.8S ribosomal RNA (bases 1-105)
Source: RNAcentral